UGGGGGAUAUUGCACAAUGGGGGAAACCCUGAUGCAGCGACGCCGCGUGGGUGAAGAAGUGCUCCGGCAUGUAAAGCCCUGUCAGCGGGGAAGAAAAUGACGGUACCCGACCAAGAAGCCCCGGCUAACUACGUGCCAGCAGCCGCGGUAAUACGUAGGGGGCGAGCGUUAUCCGGAUUCACUGGGCGUAAAGGGAGCGCAGACGGCAGUGCAAGCGGGGAGUGAAAGCCCGGGGCCCAACCCCGGGACUGCUCUCGGAACUGCACGGCUUGAGUACGGGAGGGGCAGGCGGAAUUCCUGGUGUAGCGGUGAAAUGCGUAGAUAUCAGGAGGAACACCGGCGGCGAAGGCGGCCUGCUGGACCGUGACUGACGUUGAGGCUCGAAAGCGUGGGGAGCGAACAGG
This 404-nucleotide ribosomal RNA is filed under the name uncultured bacterium. Its description in RNAcentral is "bacterial SSU rRNA". It matches the Rfam family "Bacterial small subunit ribosomal RNA", at positions 355 to 776 of the family's 1533-position model. The record is from RNAcentral.